CGGGGUCCCUCCCAGGCGAGAGCUUCAACAACAUUUGCUAGUUUGCUCAUAAUCUAGUCGUGUGUUACCACGUAAGUGCACAUGUUAUCCCUUUCCUGGUUUGCUUGUAAACCUAGCCGUCCUUCAUCAUGUAAACGUGGUAGUUAUCUGUAACACCCUAGUUUGAAUUUUGGUAGGAUUUAAAAUUUUUAAUAAAACUUAUUAGAAUUAAUUAGGAAGAGCAUACGUCCUUUUCAAAUAAAAUUUAUUUUCUAAAUACAAAUUAAACAAUAAUAGUUUAUAUAAUUGUGUUUGUUGCAUUCAUGCCGAUAGUAUAGCGUUUCUGGUUGUAAAAUAGUCUUGAAAGUGUUUUACCAAACACGCAUAGGUCCCGAUCCGAGCUCAAUCUCUAAAGUCCUAAACCUGCUGGUCCAAAACUAUAAUGAGAGCUUUGUGGAAUCCUAAUCGUUCAUAGCCAACGCCUUCACUCCCUUUUUAUUUCUCUAUCUACUCGGGCUUAAUCUUACUCCCAACUCAUAUGUUGAGCUUUUCCCCUCUUGCUUUACCGUUGUGCCAAGUCGAUCAUUAUUUCCAAGCUGAGUACUUUGUUUCCUCUAUUUCUCUAUUUGACCAAAUUAAUUCAAAUUUGGGCCAUGGCCCAGCCGGCCACCCCUCCUCUCUAUCUUUCGCUGAGCACCACCGGGAAUCGUCCUCACCCUCCCCACAUCAACAAGGUGCCAAUGCAUCUAGACACACUGCCCUUGACAAAAAUCAGCAACCAUUUAUCACCUCCCUUUCUCACGCCCUUCCUUGGCCACAUCUCUCCUAAUCACAUACUAAUUUCCUCAAUUACUCGGGCACGAGGAAACACCGGCCGUGACUUCUAUCUUCCCCUCAUCCAUGGCUGCCCCCUCCCUAUCAUCCUCUCCUGACCUACCUAACCACCAAAACGAGGCACCCUCAUCGCCAUGGUUCCAUUUUACUACCCCACUCAUCAUCCAAAGACCCCAAGCCGACGUUGGUGAAGGCCCCCAUGCCAGUACCGCCUCUGUACAACAUUUUCAUCAUCCAGUAAGCUGCAAAGCCCCUUUUCCAUCUUGUUCUCUC
RNAcentral lists this long non-coding RNA (1086 nucleotides) under Setaria viridis. RNAcentral describes it as "long non-coding RNA (SVIR_LNC009300)". The record is from RNAcentral. Lineage: Eukaryota; Viridiplantae; Streptophyta; Magnoliopsida; Poales; Poaceae.